This 470-nucleotide ribosomal RNA is filed under the name uncultured bacterium. Its description in RNAcentral is "bacterial SSU rRNA". It matches the Rfam family "Bacterial small subunit ribosomal RNA", at positions 28 to 507 of the family's 1533-position model. The record is from RNAcentral.
GAUGAACGCUGGCGGCGUGCUUAACACAUGCAAGUCGAGCGAAGCACUUGGACAACUUCGGUUUGAAGAGUGACUGAGCGGCGGACGGUGAGUAACGCGUGGGUAACCUGCCUCACACAGGGGGAUAACAGUUAGAAAUGACUGCUAAUACCGCAUAAGACCACAGCACCGCAUGGUGCAGGGGUAAAAACUCCGGUGGUGUGAGAUGGACCCGCGUCUGAUUAGCUAGUUGGUGGGGUAACGGCCUACCAAGGCGACGAUCAGUAGCCGACCUGAGAGGGUGACCGGCCACAUUGGGACUGAGACACGGCCCAAACUCCUACGGGAGGCAGCAGUGGGGAAUAUUGCACAAUGGGCGAAAGCCUGAUGCAGCGACGCCGCGUGAAGGAUGAAGUAUUUCGGUAUGUAAACUUCUAUCAGCAGGGAAGAAAAUGACGGUACCUGACUAAGAAGCCCCGGCUAACUACGUG